GACGAACGCUGGCGGCGUGCCUAAUACAUGCAAGUAGAACGCUGAAGGAGGAGCUUGCUUCUCUGGAUGAGUUGCGAACGGGUGAGUAACGCGUAGGUAACCUGCCUGGUAGCGGGGGAUAACUAUUGGAAACGAUAGCUAAUACCGCAUAAGAGUAGAUGUUGCAUGACAUUUGCUUAAAAGGUGCAAUUGCAUCACUACCAGAUGGACCUGCGUUGUAUUAGCUAGUUGGUGAGGUAACGGCUCACCAAGGCGACGAUACAUAGCCGACCUGAGAGGGUGAUCGGCCACACUGGGACUGAGACACGGCCCAGACUCCUACGGGAGGCAGCAGUAGGGAAUCUUCGGCAAUGGACGGAAGUCUGACCGAGCAACGCCGCGUGAGGGAAGAAGGUUUUCGGAUCGUAAAGCUCUGUUGUAAGAGAAGAACGAGUGUGAGAGUGGAAAGUUCACACUGUGACGGUAUCUUACCAGAAAGGGACGGCUAACUACGUG
This 495-nucleotide ribosomal RNA is filed under the name uncultured bacterium. RNAcentral's name for it is "partial 16S ribosomal RNA". It matches the Rfam family "Bacterial small subunit ribosomal RNA", at positions 28 to 507 of the family's 1533-position model. The record is from RNAcentral.